CUUGGUUGUAAUCGCACGCGCAGGGAACUCCAUUUUCGCCUUGACGAUCAGAGGGGUUGCUGUAAGUCUUUUUACGCGCAACUGUAUUUCGGAAAGUUGUAGUUUCCUUGCGAAUACUUCAUGUAAAGCGAAGUCAAAACUCUAAAGUAAAAGUGAAAGUGAGACAGAUUUUUUGUUUGAGGAAUCUUGGAGUGUUAUGAUUGAAACGAACUGAGGAGCUGUUUCUGCAAGGACAGGACGUACUUCUGGACGGUGAUAGCGACUCCGACUGGGAGGCCCCAGUGCCAAGCUGCCCGCUCUACCUGUGCCCCCAGUGGUGUUCAUAUGCCACAGUUCAUUACUGCAGGCAUGACUGUGCCUCAGAGCCAAAAGGGCACAGCAUGGAGGCGUCGUUGUGUUCUGUGUCGCAUGAAAUGCACCACUUGUUCAGUUUGCCUCUGCUUUACAUCAGAAAGAUACUGCUAUGGGACAUGGCACAGGCAGCAAAAUAUUAUGACGAGGACUUCCAAGGGGUGUGUCCAUUUUUUAAAAUGAUUUUUAUUUUUUUUCUAAUCUUUUUUAAAACAUUUUUUGUGUGUGUGUGUGUUAGAAUUGCUUUUUGAUAAGUUGUAUAUAGUUAUUUGCACUGCUGUAUAUAGUUAUAGGUCAUUUCACCAAUUCGGCCACUUGGGUACAUUUUGGCUACUUGUGUGGGACACCUGGGUGACUUCAUGCUAAAUGUCAUGUAGCUCACCCAUUCCUGAAGUUAUCAGUCUGAAACUGUGUACACCUACGGUUGUCCUCUUGUGUUAUCCAUCAAAAUGAUCUCCAGCAUCCUAUCUGACUGUGUGGCUAUUCUAGUACAUGUGAAAGAUGAUACUACAACAAUAAAAAACAGAAAACGUA
Molecule: long non-coding RNA, 885 nt
Organism: Oncorhynchus nerka (sockeye salmon)
Lineage: Eukaryota; Metazoa; Chordata; Actinopteri; Salmoniformes; Salmonidae
Exons: 2
Source: RefSeq, a predicted model, not a curated record